AGUGGUGGUGGUGGUGGUGGUGGCGGCGGCAGCGGCGCCGCCGCCGCCAGCCCGCUCUCCAGGCCCGCAGCCGCCAUAGCGCAUGCACCCCCACUCCUGCCCGCCCGGUCUCGCUUGGACGCCGGAAGGGAUUUUGCGCCCUUCCGCCGUGGCGUCACGUGACAUCCCCUUGGUAACGCAAGAUGGCGGCGCCCAUGUUGCUGCCCGAGUCCCCUCUGGGGAAGUUGAGCCAUCAAAAAUACAGAGCUAUUCUGAAGAAAGAAAAGCGGAAAAAAAAGCGUCAGGCACUUGCCAAACUGAGAGAUUCAGAAGCUACAGAAAAAGAUGAAUCAAUGUCUGAGGAGGAAGAAGAGGAACUGGAAGAAGAGGAAGAAGAAGAAGAAGAAGAAAAAAAACUUGAGGCAGAAAGACAAAAACUACAUGAGCAGUGGUUGCUAAGAGAAGAAAAGGCCCAAGAAGAGUUCAAACUUAAGAAAGAAAAAGAAGAGGCUGCAAGAAAACGUCAAGAAGAAGAAGAGGUGAUGUAUCAAAUGAGGAUUAUAGUUGUGUCUGGCAGUAAGGAAAAUUUACUGUAAUAUGUUCUACUUUUCCUUAGCAGACCUAGUUUUCUCAACAUUGAUAUGUUUGAAAGUAUACGCUCUUCUGUCUUUUUUUUUCCACUGUAGAAGAGCAAAAUUAACACUUUUCUAGUUAAAUUUCUUUUUAAAAAAAGGUUUUUCAAAAAGGUUUUUCUCCAGAGAUUUGUUUACUUAUGACUGAAUGAAAACUCAAUGAUCAAAGAGUACACAACAUGAUAGUUUUUAACUUGGCUACAGUGAUUUUAAAGCAUUCAUUCGUUUUCUGUAUUUUUUUUGUCCUAAAGAGAAAGAUCAAAGAAGAAUGGGAAGAACAACAAAGAAAAGUAAGAGAAGUGGCACAGCAGAAGCAACAGCAGAAGAGAGAAAGAGAGGUGAUUCCUGUAGUGGGAGGAUAAACAUGUUACAUAUCCUCUCACAUUAUCAGAUGCAACAGUCUACGCAUGUUAAAGAAGCAUUUUAUUCUAUUCUAAUUAGGAAUGCAUAAAUGUUACUUCCUCUCUCCAUUCUAUCUAAAUUGCUGAAAAUAUACUUCAUCGAUAUAGAUGAAUCUAAUGAAUUCAUACACCUGGAAGGAUAACUAAUUUUAAUGUAUCUGGUUGCUCGUAAUACGUUUCCUCUGUAGUUUUUUUAUGUCAGCUAAACAUGAAGGUGCAUUCUCAAAGCAAGUUCUGAUAUGUUCCCUUUUUGCAUUUUGUGUUAAAGAUAAUCCUUAUUUAAUGUCUUAUAUGAACACAGUCAGUGUUGAAGAAAAUUCCUGAUGAGGGUAUGGAAUAUGGCAUUACAUUGCUGCUGUUCCUUAACAUAGUUCUUAAUCAAAAGAUAUAUUGCAGCUCUGCUUUACCUGACUCAUCCAACAGGACGUAUCUUUUUUUUUUCAGAGCUCCUUGGGUGGGAAAGAAAAAUAUACUGAAGAUAUUAGUCAUUGAUGGAAUUUCUGUUAACUGUACAUUCUUCCUAAGUUUUAGAAUUUGAAUGACUGGGAUGUGAGAUGCCCUGU
Dromaius novaehollandiae (emu) is the source of this 1575-nucleotide long non-coding RNA. The record is from Ensembl. Lineage: Eukaryota; Metazoa; Chordata; Aves; Casuariiformes; Dromaiidae.